Molecule: ribosomal RNA, 202 nt
Filed under: uncultured bacterium
Lineage: Bacteria
Description: partial 16S ribosomal RNA
Rfam family: Bacterial small subunit ribosomal RNA
Source: RNAcentral
UACGAAGGGGGCUAGCGUUGCUCGGAAUCACUGGGCGUAAAGCGCACGUAGGCGGAUCUUUUAAGUCAGGGGUGAAAUCCUGGAGCUCAACUCCAGAACUGCCCUUGAUACUGGCGGUCUCGAGUCCGGGAGAGGUGAGUGGAACUCCGGAGUGUAGAGGUGAAAUUCGUAGAUAUUCGGGAAGAACACCAGUGGCGAAGGC